GACGAACGCUGGCGGCGUGCCUAAUACAUGCAAGUAGAACGCUGAAGAGAGGAGCUUGCUCUUCUUGGAUGAGUUGCGAACGGGUGAGUAACGCGUAGGUAACCUGCCUGGUAGCGGGGGAUAACUAUUGGAAACGAUAGCUAAUACCGCAUGAUAUUAAUUAUUGCAUGAUAAUUGAUUGAAAGAUGCAAUUGCAUCACUACCAGAUGGACCUGCGUUGUAUUAGCUAGUUGGUGAGGUAACGGCUCACCAAGGCGACGAUACAUAGCCGACCUGAGAGGGUGAUCGGCCACACGGGGACUGAGACACGGCCCAGACUCCUACGGGGGGCAGCAGUAGGGAAUCUUCGGCAAUGGGGGGAACCCUGACCGAGCAACGCCGCGUGAGUGAAGAAGGUUUUCGGAUCGUAAAGCUCUGUUGUAAGAGAAGAACGGGUGUGAGAGUGGAAAGUUCACACUGUGACGGUAUCUUACCAGAAAGGGACGGCUAACUACGUGCCAGCCGCCGCCGUAA
RNAcentral lists this ribosomal RNA (513 nucleotides) under uncultured bacterium. Its description in RNAcentral is "partial 16S ribosomal RNA". It matches the Rfam family "Bacterial small subunit ribosomal RNA", at positions 28 to 523 of the family's 1533-position model. The record is from RNAcentral.